UAAGCGGAGGAAAAGAAACUAACAAGGAUUUCCCUAGUAGCGGCGAGCGAAACGGAAAGAGCCCAGCUUGGAAAUCGGGGUGUGUUUGCACCCCGAAUUGUAGUCUGGAGAAGGGUCCUCUGCAGCGGACCGGGUUUAAGUCCCUUGGAAUGGGACGCCAGAGAGGGUGAGAGCCCCGUCUAGCCCGGACCCUGCUGCAUCACGAGGCUCUUUCGGUGAGUCGGGCUGUUUGGGAAUGCAGCCUUAAGUGGGUGGUAAAUUCCAUCCAAGGCUAAAUACUGGUGAGAGACCGAUAGCGCACAAGUACCGCGAGGGAAAGAUGAAAAGGACUUUGAAAAGAGAGUUAAAAAGUGCUUGAAAUUGCUGGGAGGGAAGCGAAUGGAUGCCUUGUGCGCCCCUUGGUUGUGUGUGGAACGGCGAGAGCUGGUCUGCCAAGCAAUGCAAGGGGCUGUCCAGCAUGGGAGGACGCGGCGGGAUAACGGCUGGUGGGUCUCUGGCUCCCUGCCAAUGCCGCCGCUGCCUCCGAAAAUGGCAGGGUGCUCCGGUGCCCUGGCAGAUGCUGGAACUUGGGCGUUCCAUCCGACCCGUCUUGAAACACGGACCAAGGAGUCUAACAUGUAUGCGAGUCUGUGGGUGUUAAACCCGUACAGGCGCAAGGAAACUGAUUCGUGGGAUCCCCUUCCGGGGUGCACCACGGACCGACCUUGAUCUUCUGAGAAGGGUUUGAGUGUUAGCAUACCUGCUGGGACCCGAAAGAUGGUGAACUAUGCCUGAGCAGGGCGAAGCCAGAGGAAACUCUGGUGGAGGCUCGUAGCGAUACUGACGUGCAAAUCGUUCGUCAGACUUGGGUAUAGGGGCGAAAGACUAAUCGAACCAUCUAGUAGCUGGUACCCUCCGAAGUUUCCCUCAGGAUAGCUGGAGCUCUUGCUGAGUUUUAUCGGGUAAAGCGAAUGAUUAGAGGCAUCGGGGGUGAAACACCCUCGACCUAUUCUCAAACUUUAAAUAGGUAAAGCAGCCGGGGUUGCUCCGUUGAGCCCCGGCAGCGAAUGCGAGUUCCAAGUGGGCCAUUUUUGGUAAGCAGAACUGGCGAUGCGGGAUGAACCGAA
This 1106-nucleotide ribosomal RNA is filed under the name Selaginella davidii. RNAcentral's name for it is "partial large subunit ribosomal RNA". It matches the Rfam family "Eukaryotic large subunit ribosomal RNA", at positions 47 to 1172 of the family's 3401-position model. The record is from RNAcentral. Lineage: Eukaryota; Viridiplantae; Streptophyta; Lycopodiopsida; Selaginellales; Selaginellaceae.